RNAcentral lists this ribosomal RNA (465 nucleotides) under Coolia malayensis. Its description in RNAcentral is "LSU rRNA". It matches the Rfam family "Eukaryotic large subunit ribosomal RNA", at positions 140 to 597 of the family's 3401-position model. Lineage: Eukaryota; Dinophyceae; Peridiniales; Ostreopsidaceae. The record is from RNAcentral.
GAAUUGUAUUUUCAAAAUGCAUUGCUAACACAACUGCACAUGUUUGUUUAUUGGAAAGAACAUCACAAAGGGUGACAAUCCCAUGUGUCAUGUGUAUGUUUUGUGUACAGCGUGCAUUAUAUGAAUCACAUUCAUUGACAAUUGAAUGCAAAUAGAAUGGUAAAUUUCAUUUAAUCAUAAAUAUGUUGUUGACAACUUAUAGCAAACAAAUACCAUGAGGGAAAUGUGAAAAGGAUUUUGAAAAGAAAAUUAAAAGAGCUUGCAAUUGCUGAACUGAUAAGCAAACAAAACAUACGUGUGUAUGCAAGAUUGUUGUAAUGCUUAGCAUCUUAUGCAAGGCUAUUGCAAUGAUUUUUUGUAUAGUGAUGCUACCUUUUUUUAGAAUUUGGAAUGUCUUUUUUUGAGUGUGAAUGGAAUUUUGUUUGNUAGCAAAGGAAUGCACUUUUAGAUUCAUUGUUUGAUUUG